RNAcentral lists this long non-coding RNA (523 nucleotides) under Populus trichocarpa (black cottonwood). RNAcentral's name for it is "long non-coding RNA (PTRI_LNC001772)". Lineage: Eukaryota; Viridiplantae; Streptophyta; Magnoliopsida; Malpighiales; Salicaceae. The record is from RNAcentral.
GUCCCCUUUGUGUUGUUCUCCGGUUUCCUCUCUUCUUUCUUUUCCUUUGUUUCUCUCUUCUGGUUUUUUCUCUGUUUUCCCAAGUUCGUCUUCUCUUUCCCUGUUUUCGUUCGUGUUCUCUGUUUUUCUUUGUGUUAUUCUCUGCUCCUUUUCUUUUCCUCCUUUUCUUUUCUGUUUCGGUUCAUCCUCUCUGACUCUCCGUUUUUUCUCUGGUGCUCGCCCCUUUGUGGCCUUCUCUAGCUUUUAUAAAGCCAGAGGACGACCUCUGUUCAUGUGUUUGUGCCUCACGAUCGUGAGGCACGAACGCCUUUGUUUCUUUGAGAAGAAACAGGGGAAUAAGAGUCUGCUAUUCUGGUUCGUCUUUUUACGUUUGUUUCCUCACCCUGCCGGUUCUCCUCCGGUUUUUAUUUUCUCUGGUUUGUGUUUUCGGUCAACUCUCUAUCGGUCCCCCUGUUCCCUGUUCUUCUCUGGCUUUUUAUAGGGCUAGAGAGCUUGCAAAACAAACCAAUCCCCUUUACAGUCC